RNAcentral lists this ribosomal RNA (258 nucleotides) under uncultured bacterium. RNAcentral describes it as "partial 16S ribosomal RNA". It matches the Rfam family "Bacterial small subunit ribosomal RNA", at positions 333 to 588 of the family's 1533-position model. The record is from RNAcentral.
AAUUGCCUACGGGGGGCAGCAGUGAGGAAUAUUGGUCAAUGGUCGGGAGACUGAACCAGCCAAGCCGCGUGAGGGAUGAAGGUACAGAGUAUCGUAAACCUCUUUUGUCAGGGAACAAAGGCAGGGACGCGUCCCCGGAUGAGUGUACCUGAAGAAAAAGCAUCGGCUAACUCCGUGCCAGCAGGCGCGGUAAUACGGAGGAUGCGAGCGUUAUCCGGAUUUAUUGGGUUUAAAGGGUGCGUAGGCGGUCCGGAAAGU